This 84-nucleotide transfer RNA is filed under the name Staphylococcus aureus. Its description in RNAcentral is "tRNA-Leu". It matches the Rfam family "tRNA". From Rfam's summary of the family: Transfer RNA (tRNA) molecules are approximately 80 nucleotides in length. The record is from RNAcentral. Lineage: Bacteria; Bacillati; Bacillota; Bacilli; Caryophanales; Staphylococcaceae.
GCCGGUGUGGCGGAAUUGGCAGACGCGCGGGACUCAAAAUCCCGUUCUACUUGUGGAGUGUCGGUUCGACCCCGACCACCGGUA